UGAUACGUNCUCUACGAGUUCGAGUUGUUUGGGAAUGCAGCUCAAAAUGGGUGGUAAAUUCCAUCUAAAGCUAAAUAUUGGCGAGAGACCGAUAGCGAACAAGUACCGUGAGGGAAAGAUGAAAAGCACUUUGGAAAGAGAGUUAAACAGUACGUGAAAUUGUUAAAAGGGAAACGAUUGAAGUCAGUCGUGUUUAUUGGAUUCAGCCGGUCUUCGGUGUACUUCCUUUAAACGGGUCAACAUCAGUUUUGUCCGGUGGAUAAAGGCAGUAGGAAUGUGGCUCCCUCGGGAGUGGGAUAGCCUAUUGUCACAUACACUGGAGGAGACUGAGGACUGCA
This 338-nucleotide ribosomal RNA is filed under the name Basidiomycota sp. MA5327. Its description in RNAcentral is "eukaryotic LSU rRNA". It matches the Rfam family "Eukaryotic large subunit ribosomal RNA", at positions 247 to 597 of the family's 3401-position model. The record is from RNAcentral. Lineage: Eukaryota; Fungi; Basidiomycota.